ACCUUUAAAGACCGGAACCUACACAUGCAAGUCGAGCGGUAGCACAGAGAGCUUGCUCUCGGGUGACGAGCGGCGGACGGGUGAGUAAUGUCUGGGAAACUGCCUGAUGGAGGGGGAUAACUACUGGAAACGGUAGCUAAUACCGCAUAACGUCGCAAGACCAAAGUGGGGGACCUUCGGGCCUCAUGCCAUCAGAUGUGCCCAGAUGGGAUUAGCUAGUAGGUGGGGUAACGGCUCACCUAGGCGACGAUCCCUAGCUGGUCUGAGAGGAUGACCAGCCACACUGGAACUGAGACACGGUCCAGACUCCUACGGGAGGCAGCAGUGGGGAAUAUUGCACAAUGGGCGCAAGCCUGAUGCAGCCAUGCCGCGUGUGUGAAGAAGGCCUUCGGGUUGUAAAGCACUUUCAGCGGGGAGGAAGGCGAUAAGGUUAAUAACCUUGGCGAUUGACGUUACCCGCAGAAGAAGCACCGGCUAACUCCGUGCCAGCAGCCGCGGUAAUACGGAGGGUGCAAGCGUUAAUCGGAAUUACUGGGCGUAAAGCGCACGCAGGCGGUCUGUCAAGUCGGAUGUGAAAUCCCCGGGCUCAACCUGGGAACUGCAUUCGAAACUGGCAGGCUAGAGUCUUGUAGAGGGGGGUAGAAUUCCAGGUGUAGCGGUGAAAUGCGUAGAGAUCUGGAGGAAUACCGGUGGCGAAGGCGGCCCCCUGGACAAAGACUGACGCUCAGGUGCGAAAGCGUGGGGAGCAAACAGGAUUAGAUACCCUGGUAGUCCACGCCGUAAACGAUGUCGAUUUGGAGGUUGUGCCCUUGAGGCGUGGCUUCCGGAGCUAACGCGUUAAAUCGACCGCCUGGGGAGUACGGCCGCAAGGUUAAAACUCAAAUGAAUUGACGGGGGCCCGCACAAGCGGUGGAGCAUGUGGUUUAAUUCGAUGCAACGCGAAGAACCUUACCUGGUCUUGACAUCCACAGAACUUUCCAGAGAUGGAUUGGUGCCUUCGGGAACUGUGAGACAGGUGCUGCAUGGCUGUCGUCAGCUCGUGUUGUGAAAUGUUGGGUUAAGUCCCGCAACGAGCGCAACCCUUAUCCUUUGUUGCCAGCGGUUCGGCCGGGAACUCAAAGGAGACUGCCAGUGAUAAACUGGAGGAAGGUGGGGAUGACGUCAAGUCAUCAUGGCCCUUACGACCAGGGCUACACACGUGCUACAAUGGCAUAUACAAAGAGAAGCGACCUCGCGAGAGCAAGCGGACCUCAUAAAGUAUGUCGUAGUCCGGAUUGGAGUCUGCAACUCGACUCCAUGAAGUCGGAAUCGCUAGUAAUCGUAGAUCAGAAUGCUACGGUGAAUACGUUCCCGGGCCUUGUACACACCGCCCGUCACACCAUGGGAGUGGGUUGCAAAAGAAGUAGGUAGCUUAACCUUCGGGAGGGCGCUACCACUUUGAUUUUACCG
RNAcentral lists this ribosomal RNA (1449 nucleotides) under Klebsiella sp. Its description in RNAcentral is "bacterial SSU rRNA". It matches the Rfam family "Bacterial small subunit ribosomal RNA". Lineage: Bacteria; Pseudomonadati; Pseudomonadota; Gammaproteobacteria; Enterobacterales; Enterobacteriaceae. The record is from RNAcentral.